This 74-nucleotide transfer RNA is filed under the name Bacillota bacterium. RNAcentral's name for it is "tRNA-Thr". It matches the Rfam family "tRNA". Rfam says of the family: Transfer RNA (tRNA) molecules are approximately 80 nucleotides in length. Their secondary structure includes four short double-helical elements and three loops (D, anti-codon, and T loops). Lineage: Bacteria; Bacillati; Bacillota. The record is from RNAcentral.
GCCGCCUUAGUUAAAUGGUAUAACGGAGCCAUGGUAAGGCUCAAUCAUAAGUUCGAUUCUUAUAGGCGGCACCA